This 446-nucleotide ribosomal RNA is filed under the name uncultured bacterium. RNAcentral describes it as "partial 16S ribosomal RNA". It matches the Rfam family "Bacterial small subunit ribosomal RNA", at positions 338 to 795 of the family's 1533-position model. The record is from RNAcentral.
CCUACGGGUGGCAGCAGUCGAGAAUCAUUCACAAUGGGGGAAACCCUGAUGGUGCGACGCCGCGUGGGGGAAUGAAGGUCUUCGGUUUGUAAACCCCUGUCAUGUGGGAGCAAAUUAAAAAGAUAGUACCACAAGAGGAAGAGACGGCUAACUCUGGACCAGCAGCCGCGGUAAUACAGAGGUCUCAAGCGAUGUUCGGAGUCACUGGGCGUAAAGCGUGCGUAGGCGGGUUCGUAAGUCGUGUGUGAAAGGCGCGGGCUCAACCCGCGGACGGCACAUGAUACUGGGAGACUAGAGUAAUGUAGGGGGAAGUGGAAUUCUCGGUGUAGCAGUGAAAUGCGUAGAUAUCGAGAGGAACACUGGUGGCGAAGGCGGGUUCCUGGACAUUAACUGACGCUGAGGCACGAAGGCCAGGGGAGCGAAAGGGAUUAGAUACCCCAGUAGUC